ACGUAGGGUGCGAGCGUUGUCCGGAUUUAUUGGGCGUAAAGAGCUCGUAGGCGGCUCGUCGCGUCGACCGUGAAAUCCCGCAGCUUAACUGCGGGCUUGCGGUUGAUACGGGCGGGCUAGAGUUCGGUAGGGGAGACUGGAAUUCCUGGUGUAGCGGUGAAAUGCGCAGAUAUCGGGAAGAACACCGAUGGCGAAGGCAGUCGGCUGGGCCGUUGCUGACACUGAGGCGCGACAGCGUGGGGAGCAAACAGGA
Molecule: ribosomal RNA, 253 nt
Filed under: uncultured prokaryote
Description: partial 16S ribosomal RNA
Rfam family: Bacterial small subunit ribosomal RNA
Source: RNAcentral